This 253-nucleotide ribosomal RNA is filed under the name uncultured bacterium. RNAcentral's name for it is "partial 16S ribosomal RNA". It matches the Rfam family "Bacterial small subunit ribosomal RNA", at positions 524 to 776 of the family's 1533-position model. The record is from RNAcentral.
UACAGAGGGUGCAAGCGUUGUUCGGAAUUAUUGGGCGUAAAGGGAGUGUAGGCGGUCUUUUAAGUCUUCUGUGAAAUCUACGGGCUUAGCCUGUAACGUGCAGAGGAAACUGGAAGGCUUGAGUGUCGGAGAGGAUAGGGGAAUACCCAGUGUAGAGGUGAAAUUCGUAGAGAUUGGGUGGAACACCAGUGGCGAAGGCGCCUAUCUGGCUGACAACUGACGUUGAGACUCGAAAGCAUGGGGAGCAAACAGG